RNAcentral lists this ribosomal RNA (253 nucleotides) under uncultured bacterium. Its description in RNAcentral is "partial 16S ribosomal RNA". It matches the Rfam family "Bacterial small subunit ribosomal RNA", at positions 524 to 776 of the family's 1533-position model. The record is from RNAcentral.
UACGUAGGGUCCGAGCGUUGUCCGGAGUUACUGGGCGUAAAGGGCGCGCAGGCGGCGGUGCUGGCCCGGCGUGAAAGCCCCCGGCUCAACCGGGGAGGGUCGUCGGGGACCGCACCGCUUGAGGGCGGUAGGGGCUGGUGGAAUGCCUGGUGUAGUGGUGAAAUGCGUAGAGAUCAGGCAGAACACCCGUGGCGAAGGCGGCCAGCUGGGCCGACCCUGACGCUGAGGCGCGAAGGCGUGGGGAGCGAACGGG